GCAAGUCGAGGGGCAGCAUUUCUAGCUUGCUAGAAGAUGGCGACCGGCGCACGGGUGCGUAACGCGUAUACAACCUACCUAUAACAGGAGGAUAGCCCAGAGAAAUUUGGAUUAAUACUCCGUAGUACUAUUUAACCGCAUGGUUUGAACAGUUAAAGCUUCGGUGGUUAUAGAUGGGUAUGCGUAAGAUUAGCUAGUUGGUAAGGUAACGGCUUACCAAGGCGACGAUCUUUAGGGGGCCUGAGAGGGUGAUC
Molecule: ribosomal RNA, 254 nt
Filed under: uncultured bacterium
Lineage: Bacteria
Description: partial 16S ribosomal RNA
Rfam family: Bacterial small subunit ribosomal RNA
Source: RNAcentral